Molecule: ribosomal RNA, 485 nt
Filed under: uncultured soil bacterium
Lineage: Bacteria
Description: bacterial SSU rRNA
Rfam family: Bacterial small subunit ribosomal RNA
Source: RNAcentral
AGAUUGAACGCUGGCGGCAUGCCUUACACAUGCAAGUCGAACGGCAGCACGGGAGCAAUCCUGGUGGCGAGUGGCGAACGGGUGAGUAAUAUAUCGGAACGUGCCCAGUCGUGGGGGAUAACGCAGCGAAAGCUGUGCUAAUACCGCAUACGAUCUAUGGAUGAAAGCGGGGGAUCGCAAGACCUCGCGCGAUUGGAGCGGCCGAUAUCAGAUUAGCUAGUUGGUGGGGUAAAAGCCUACCAAGGCGACGAUCUGUAGCUGGUCUGAGAGGACGACCAGCCACACUGGAACUGAGACACGGUCCAGACUCCUACGGGAGCAGCAGUGGGAAUUUUGGACAAUGGGCGCAAGCCUGAUCCAGCAAUGCCGCGUGCAGGACUGAAGGCCUUGGUUGUAACUGCUUUGUACGGUAACGAAACGGUUCUCUACUAAUACGAGGGCUAAUGACGUACCGUAAGAAGUAAGCACCGCUAACUACGUGACCG